GCCCCUUCCCCACCACAAAAAGAAAGAUAAAAGGAGAAGAUUUCUCUUUGAAUCCAGCUCACACCUGAACACGAGGAGAUUAGAAAAUGGAAGGGUUAUCUUCAAUUAUCAUUGAGCUCAGGCCGCCGAGUUCGGUGGUGUUGCUUCCUUAAAACGACACCAGCAAGGUUAACUGGUGCAUGCAUGCACAGCCGGUAAUCUAAAAAAUUCGAGAUUCAGAUUCGGACAAGAAUUGAAAAUCCGGUGAAAUCUAAGUUGAUUUGAUCGGGAUUUUAAUAAUAUGAUCAAGUAAAAAAUAACAUAUAUUUUUUAAUUAUACACCAUAACGUCGAUUGUUAAUCGAAAAGAUGAAAGGAUUAUCAACAAAGAGUCAAUAGACUUCGCCGAGCUCGAUGCUUCUCCCCUUUCGACACGGUGCUCGAUGUUGAGUACAAAUUGACUCGAAGAGGAAACCUUUAUGAGCUCCCGAAGCAGAGCUCAGCACCGAGAUGACCCCAUUUCCGUAGGCCCACCACGCUUGGGGUUUUUCUCGGCAGAAGAAAAUGAUCCGAAGAAGUACCAAGCAAAAGCUGGAAUCAUUAGCUUCUCCUCUCCAUUACUCCUUC
This 605-nucleotide long non-coding RNA is filed under the name Populus tremula. RNAcentral's name for it is "long non-coding RNA (PTRE_LNC000398)". Lineage: Eukaryota; Viridiplantae; Streptophyta; Magnoliopsida; Malpighiales; Salicaceae. The record is from RNAcentral.